ACAUGCAAGUCGAGGGGCAGCAUUGGAGUAGCAAUACUCAGAUGGCGGCCGGCGCACGGGUGAGUAACACGUAUCCAACCUGCCGCUUACUCGGGGAUAGCCUUUCGAAAGAAAGAUUAAUACCCGAUGGUAUAAAGAGUUCGCAUGUUCUCUUUAUUAAAGAAUUUCGGUAAGCGAUGGGGAUGCGUUCCAUUAGAUAGUUGGCGGGGUAACGGCCCACCAAGUCUACGAUGGAUAGGGGUUCUGAGAGGAAGGUCCCCCACAUUGGAACUGAGACACGGUCCAAACUCCUACGGGAGGCAGCAGUGAGGAAUAUUGGUCAAUGGACGAGAGUCUGAACCAGCCAAAGUAGCGUGAAGGAUGACUGCCCUAUGGGUUGUAAACUUCUUUUAUAAGGGAAUAAAGUGAGGGACGUGUCCCUUUUUGUAUGUACCUUAUGAAUAAGGAUCGGCUAACUCCGUGCCAGCCGCGGC
Molecule: ribosomal RNA, 473 nt
Filed under: uncultured bacterium
Lineage: Bacteria
Description: bacterial SSU rRNA
Rfam family: Bacterial small subunit ribosomal RNA
Source: RNAcentral